RNAcentral lists this ribosomal RNA (253 nucleotides) under uncultured bacterium. RNAcentral describes it as "partial 16S ribosomal RNA". It matches the Rfam family "Bacterial small subunit ribosomal RNA", at positions 524 to 776 of the family's 1533-position model. The record is from RNAcentral.
UACGGAGGGUGCAAGCGUUAAUCGGAAUUACUGGGCGUAAAGCGCACGUAGGUGGUUUGCUAAGUCAGCUGUGAAAUCCCCGGGCUCAACCUGGGCACUGCAGUUGAAACUGGUAAGCUAGAGUAGGGUAGAGGGGUGUGGAAUUCCAGGUGUAGCGGUGAAAUGCGUAGAUAUCUGGAGGAACAUCAGUGGCGAAGGCGACACCCUGGACUCAUACUGACACUGAGGUGCGAAAGCGUGGGGAGCAAACAGG